RNAcentral lists this ribosomal RNA (271 nucleotides) under Bacillus thuringiensis serovar guiyangiensis. RNAcentral describes it as "partial 23S ribosomal RNA". It matches the Rfam family "Bacterial large subunit ribosomal RNA", at positions 2194 to 2464 of the family's 2925-position model. The record is from RNAcentral. Lineage: Bacteria; Bacillati; Bacillota; Bacilli; Caryophanales; Bacillaceae.
GGGAUACCGCCCUGAAUGUAUUGAAAUUCUAACCUACGGGUCUUAUCGACCCGGGAGACAGUGUCAGGUGGGCAGUUUGACUGGGGCGGUCGCCUCCUAAAGUGUAACGGAGGCGCCCAAAGGUUCCCUCAGAAUGGUUGGAAAUCAUUCGUAGAGUGCAAAGGCAUAAGGGAGCUUGACUGCGAGACCUACAAGUCGAGCAGGGACGAAAGUCGGGCUUAGUGAUCCGGUGGUUCCGCAUGGAAGGGCCAUCGCUCAACGGAUAAAAGCU